UUUCCCCAUUUGCGCCGGCUCUGCGUCCAUGGCCGCGAGGCCGCGAGGAGUUGAAGCUGCGGGGGGUUUUCAAGAAGAGUCCUCUUUCCGUGUUUCUCCGCAUUUUCUUUUUGAUGGGGCGUCGAAGAAGUUGUGGGGUUUCGAUUCUUUCUUCCAUUAGCAUGUUUACUCCCCAGAGGAAGGCAUACCCGGCGCUCUCGCUGCCGCCGCGAGGAGCGGUGGAGUAGUUAGUUUACCUUAGCUAAAUGGCUAUUUGAUUAUUAGUAUAAUAUGGGGCUGCUUCUGAUCUACAAAAAAGGAGUGGAAUCGAAGUUUGAAGAGUUAGGUCAAGCAUCAUCAGAAGCACAACAGCUCCUCCAACAAGAACGAUCAGCCCAUCUGAUUCAAUGUCUGAAGCUGAGAAGAAAGAGGAAAAUCUGAGGAAAGCCUUGGCUUUUGAAAGGCAAUGCGUGGCAGAUGUAUGCUACCUCUUGCUGAUGGUCUUGCAAUUUGAAUUUUCUCUUAUUUGAAUGCUCUAGAUUUUGCAUUGCAUUUUAACUGUCUUAUAUUUUGGAAAUAGAGUCAACUAAUGACAGGCUGUCUACUGAAUUUGUGUUGCUUAAAUUUCAUUCAUGCGCACGAGGGAUUGCUAAAUCAGAUCAUUUAAAGGUAACGCAAACUCAAUUGCAAGAUGAUUCUUCUAUGAUCUGGCAUAAUGACCAUACUCCCGGUGGAGAACUCUUGCUGGAGCACUAGUUUGAUUCCCAUUGCCAAAUCAUGUGUUGCUAUUCAUGUUAGAUUUCUGGAGACAUAAGAUCUGAGGAAAGCCUUGGCUUUUGAAAGGCAAUAUGUGGCAGGUGUAUGCUACUUCUUGCUGAUAGUCUUGCAAUUUGAACUUUCGGUUAUUAGAAUGCUGUAGAUUUUACGUUGUGUAUAUUUUCACUGUCUUCUAUUUUGGAAAAACAGUCAACUAAUGACAAACUGUUUGCUGAAUUUGUGUUGCGCAAACUUCAUUCAUGGGCACUAGGGAUUGCUAAAUUGCAUAGUUGAAAGCUUGAGAAGGCUCUGCACGAAACAUAUAAUGAGCAAGACCAAAUAAAGCUUGAUUCUGGGAAGAAGUUGGCUCAAGCAAGUGCUUUGACUAUUGGAAUUGAGGAUAGGUCAUUGGAGGUGAAAGAGAAGCUGCAUGACGUUGAUGCCAAGCUUGCCGAGGUCAGCAGAAAAAGUUCGCAAUUGGACUUGAAGAUGCAAAAGAUGGAGGCAUGCGAAAGUGUACUUUAAAGGGAGCGUUUGUGUUUGAAAACUGAGUAUGCUCUUUUCAACUUGUGCAUCUUUAUGCAUCAUGCAUGAUUGUGUUGUUUACAUUGCCAUAGCUGUAAGAAGUUUUUAACAAGUGAUGUUGUAAAUCUGCCCUUUUAUGGCUGGCAGGAAGCGCACAAGGCCA
This is a long non-coding RNA of Eucalyptus grandis, 1423 nucleotides long. RefSeq lists it as uncharacterized. The record is from RefSeq and is a predicted model, not a curated record. NCBI's taxonomy places the organism in Eukaryota, Viridiplantae, Streptophyta, Magnoliopsida, Myrtales, Myrtaceae. The transcript is spliced from 3 exons.